This is an RNA transcript of Musa acuminata AAA Group (dessert banana), 1779 nucleotides long. RefSeq lists it as uncharacterized. Lineage: Eukaryota; Viridiplantae; Streptophyta; Magnoliopsida; Zingiberales; Musaceae. The transcript is spliced from 3 exons. The record is from RefSeq and is a predicted model, not a curated record.
AGUUAGACUCGAUCACGUCCGAACAAAAACAGCAAGGCAGUUGACGUGACGGAGUCAGGGGGGAGAUAGGAAGGGAGAAACUUUCUUUCUGGUAAGCUUCUUGUCUUUGGUUUCAUCUCGUCCACUACCAUCAACUCGAGGACCGGGUGACGUGAUAAAUGGAUGGACCCGAGGGCGGCGGAGAAACUCCCUCUUCGUCUCUCCUCUUCCCAGGGACAAGGAGAGAAGCCCACGUUCUCUCGCUCCAUUGCGUAUUUAUAGCUGUCGAUGCGAGGUGGUGUUUACUGUCCACUUAUUUAUUCGUCCCUUCGAUUCUAUGUGGCUUCCCGUUGAGGUGUUUGAAUGCUGCCACCGUAUUCCCACCACAGAGGAUAGAGGAGAAGCUGAGGGAGAUGCACCGCAAUGCAGCGUCCUACAAUUGCGCCGGCGUCAAGGCGGAGUUGGCCGAUGCAAGGAUUGUUCAUGGCGAUUAUGAGCCCCCGGCGUGCCCCAGGCCUCGCAGGCCUGAAGCGGCCGCGCCGGAGUUCCUCUUUCCUCUUAGCUGUAAGCACAGCUUACAAUGCUUCACAGUGCUGCAUAUAUUAAAUGCAUUCGCGACGUCGUAGAUUAUUGCUGAUAGUGAUGAUAUGGGGUGAAUGAAACCAAUAUACUUCAUGCAUGCACACCUGCCUUUUGAUGAUUUGCCUCUGAGAGCAAUAUAUGUACUUUUAUACUGUUCUAUGACAAAAAAAAAAAGAAAUUGAUAGCUUCACAUCAUCGCAGUAAACACAUUCUUAGUCUCAGAAUCUUGGCCUCGAAGGAACUUGAAGAUCGAUAAGCUGAUGCAGCAUAUGCAGUUCUAGUGAUUGAAUUUACCAUUGGGUCUGAUACCUUCAUACCCCCCUUUGACAUUUCCUGUGAUUAUGUGUUACAAGAACCAUAUUCCUUCUAGAGUUUGCAUUUUCUAUCAAAAUAGUUAUUGCUUCAUAAGGAUUUCUGACAUUUGUAAUGCAAGGAAAGUUGUGCACAAACUCUGACUGUGUUUACCUCGCAAAAUUGUUUACCUUCAGAAACUGUGAGAAACCUGUAUUUGGUAUAUGAUGUAGUAAUGCUCAUGUAGAACUGCGUUUCUAUAUGAACAAUGAUUGUGAUAAAUGUUGUUUCAUGCUGCUUCACUCAUCCAGUCAUGCAAGCCAUCAGGGGAGCAGCCAAGUCCUGGACAUGAUAUCAAGAAAGAAUGACGAAGGAAGAGAAUCUAUCAGCACAGGAUGUCCACCUUCUUGCUACUGUGGGUCUCCUCCAAGAAGAUUGGAUAACCCUUUGAUUCAUGAUGUGCAAUUUGUUCAGCAGACAGAGAUACUCUCACCAUUGACACUGAGUAAGUUGUCUAAUAGGUAUGGCUUCAGCUCAGCACCUCCAAUAUGAUGUGUUAAAGUAGCACAAGAAAUAACUUGGACUUGGAGGAAGAGCCUCCCAAGUCUGCAACAUGAAGUCUUUUAUUCAAAGAGCAACAGGAAGAGCCUCUCAGAGAUCAACCAAUCAAAUCCUAGGGUUUUAGAAGUGAGACAACCAUCUUCACAAGUAACUUGCAAAUGUAUCCUAUCUUCUUCUCCUUUAGUUUCCAUUUUAUAGCUGGCCCAGGAUCUCUGUAUAUGUACAUGGCAGGUUCGAUAAAGUUUUCAUUUUUCAUUAUUAUUUUUUCUUUUACUUUGAAGUUUUUACGGGAUCGACGUAUUGUAUUUAUCGAACCUGAAAUGCUAACCAUUGAAUGGAUCAAAAAGAAUUACAUGAAUGUGAGCU